AUCAGUUGGUAGAAUUUUUAUUGACAGAAAUCUCCCGGGAGGGAAGUGAUAAAGCUACUAGGUGUAUCCUAAGCGAGAUCUAGUUCUCUUUAGUCUUCCAGCUUUCAAAAUUAAUUUUCUUGUUUUCUUGCUUCCAAGUCUCAUUUAGGAUUAUUAACUCUUUUGCUUAGAAAAGAUUGUCCUUUCAUUGUUUUGCUUCGAAGCUAACAUUAGACUUUCCCCACCUA
Molecule: long non-coding RNA, 227 nt
Filed under: Elaeis guineensis (African oil palm)
Lineage: Eukaryota; Viridiplantae; Streptophyta; Magnoliopsida; Arecales; Arecaceae
Description: long non-coding RNA (EGUI_LNC052050)
Source: RNAcentral